RNAcentral lists this ribosomal RNA (332 nucleotides) under uncultured eukaryote. RNAcentral's name for it is "partial 18S ribosomal RNA". It matches the Rfam family "Eukaryotic small subunit ribosomal RNA", at positions 1470 to 1796 of the family's 1831-position model. The record is from RNAcentral.
CCCUUAGAUGUUCUGGGCUGCACACGUGCUACACUGGCAGGUUCAGCGAGCUUCAUGCCCUGAUCUGAAAGGAAUGGGAAAUCUUUUCAAAACCUGCCGUGCUUGGGAUAGAUGUUUGCAAUUAUUCAUCUUCAACGAGGAUUGCCUUGUAAGCGCACGUCAUCAGCGUGCAUUGAAUACGACCCUGUAUUCUGUACACACCGACCGUCGCUCCUACCGAUUGAAGUUUUCGGUGAGUUGACAGGAGGAUUUUUUUGAAACUGGUUCGCCAGUGGAUUUUAGAUCCAAAUGCCAACGAAUCGAUGGCUUUAGAGGAAGGAGAAGUCGUAACA